UACAGAGGGUGCAAGCGUUAAUCGGAAUUACUGGGCGUAAAGCGCACGCAGGCGGUUGGUUAAGUCAGAUGUGAAAGCCCCGGGCUCAACCUGGGAAUUGCAUUCAAAACUGGCUAACUAGAGUAUGUGAGAGGGGGGUAGAAUUCCAAGUGUAGCGGUGAAAUGCGUAGAGAUUUGGAGGAAUACCAGUGGCGAAGGCGGCCCCCUGGCACACUACUGACGCUGAGGUGCGAAAGCGUGGGGAGCAAACAGG
Molecule: ribosomal RNA, 253 nt
Filed under: uncultured bacterium
Lineage: Bacteria
Description: partial 16S ribosomal RNA
Rfam family: Bacterial small subunit ribosomal RNA
Source: RNAcentral